Molecule: unclassified non-coding RNA, 4333 nt
Filed under: Hevea brasiliensis (rubber tree)
Lineage: Eukaryota; Viridiplantae; Streptophyta; Magnoliopsida; Malpighiales; Euphorbiaceae
Source: RNAcentral
GGGCGCGCUGGCAACAAGUUUCCAGAAAUUUUGGCGAAAUAGGAAAGCAAGCCAGAGAAGGGAGGUGAUGUGGCAUUGACCCACAUUUCGACCGUUGGUCUUAGGGAUUUUUUUUGUCCAGCGGGACGCUCCGCUGAAUCGAUUGAGAGCCAUGGACCCAGCCGAACUCUGCUUUCCUAAACGUGCCAAUUUCCUCUUGCCAAUAUUCAAAGGAUAUGGAAACUCCAACAAAUUAUACUAAUUUUAUUUAAUUUAAUUUAAAAACACUCUCUCUAUCACACCCUCUCUUUGUUUCUACACUGCACGAUAGCUAGCAUCAGAUUCAAGCACGCAGAGAGAGGCUCCGUUGUCGUCAGAAACGAAGAUCACUCUGGUAGCUUCCAAUUCGCUCUUCUAUAUAUAUGGUGAUGAAACUUCUUCUAGAUUCAAAUACGGGUUCUCUUUUUCUUCCCUAAUUUGCUGCGGAUUGUUUUUCUUAUCCUUCUCAAUUUUGGUAAACCUUCUUCAGUUCAGGCAGGUGAUUUGGAGUUGUUUUGAAAAUUGAACUUUCCCUCUGUGGUUAAGUGGAUACAAUGACUAUACUAACCCAGCUAUUUUAUCCUGAUUCUCCUGCGGGAGAUGACUAAAUCUGUCCUUUUGCACCCUUUUUGUCUCUACGAAUAAGACAAUAACACCAAGCGGCAAGCGGUAACGUUCGUCGUUGUGUAAUGUGUAGGUUUGCGGCGGAUUUGUAUUCUGUUUUAUGCGGCUUUGUUUUUGGAUUUUGAGCUGUGUUCUUUCGAAAGAGGAGAGUAAUCAAGGGAAGACAUAGAAGAUGGUGGAGAUGAUAAACAAGGAUGCUUCGUACUGGUGGUGGUUUGAGAGUCACCAAAGCUCCAACCGCUCUCCGUGGCUACAAUCCACUCUUUGCGGUGAAAGGCUUUUCUAAUCCAUAUCUCUCUCUCUCUCUUUUUAUUUUCUUUUUAUUUUUUAUAUAUGUGGUUCUCGUUUUCGUUUGGGUUUUCUUGCAUUUCAUUCGCGAAGAGAUGGGAUACUUCUUCUUGAUUCUUGAACCUUUGGAAAUUGGGACUAUGCGUGUGAUUUUAAGAUCCCAAAGUUUUGAAUUGUUUCUUUACUCAACUCUUUUUUUUUUCUUUAAAUAAAAAUAAUCCUUUCUUUUCAGCGAAAUUCUAGCGAGAAUUUGACUUACAUGUGAUUGACUAGUAAAGAAUACCUUUUUGGGGGUAGAAGACUUCUAGCAAAAAUUGGAUUUCAACAUCCAAAAUCGUAGUUUAUGGCUGCACCUUCAUGAACACUUUGAGAAAUUACAGUCGUGAAAAAAAAUUAGGAAUCGAGUAUUAUGCAGAAAGUUUAUUAUUAGGGAGAAAUUCCAAGAUAUUUUCUUUUGGCCCGUUUUUUUUCUUUUCCUUGGUUCCUUUUGUUGGGUAACAACGAAAGAGGAAAAGAACUCUAUUUUCAGAGUUACCAUUUGACUGGCUGAGUAAUUAUCAUUAAUGUUAAGAUCAUUGCAUAAAUUGUGAGAGGAAAAAAAGAGAGCAGAUAUUGAAGGGGUCCACAGACAUUAUACAGUAUGUAAUGAGAAAGGAAAGCAAUGGCAAUUGAGACCGGAAUUAAAUUGACGUGGAGAGCCACAAGUUCAUUACUCUCAAUGGUUAAUAUCUUAUUGCUUGGCACUACUUCUGAGGAUUAUCUAUGGCUAUGAUUUGAUGAUUAUGAGUGAACUUUUAGUGUGAGUUAGAAUGCUGGUACUAUGGCCUAGUGGUCCUUAAGGUGGAGGGCACUGGAAGACACCAACUGUUGUCAUCUUUCUGUAUAAAUUUACUUUUCUGAAUGGGAUCUGAAGAUUCAUUCAUUAUUUUUAAGCUUCUAAAAGCUCUCGUUAUAAUAUACGGGACCCAUUUGUAUUUAGUUAAUUGUAAAGCAACGUUUCUCAAGCAUAAAAAUGUAGACUAUGAGGACUCUGAAAGUUGGUAGUUCACCAUGAACUCUUUUUAAAUUCCUUUAUUCCUUUGCCAGCAUGGACCAUUUUGAUAAAUAAACAAUGCUGCUUUUUCUUUCAUUUUUUUUUAACUUUUUCUUUUUUGCUGAAUCGACCUGGGACGUUGAUAGUUGCAUAAAACUAGAUAAGAAUUUUCUUCGGCAUGAUACUUGAUGUAGUUAUGAGUAAAUUAGUUACUCAUCUGUGCAUUUCACAUUGCAAAAUUCCAAGAUACAAAUGGCAACUUGUGGGAUUUGAUUUGAUCAUGCAUUUUUCACUUUUCCAGAGAUUAUAUCUCUUAUAAUCUAUUGUUCUCUGAAAUUUAUUAAUUUACUGAAUAAUUUGUAACUUUCCAUUUCUGAUUAAAUGAUUGGUUUUUGGCAAUUAAAUUUUAAAAAUUUCAGAGGUAGACAGGAAGACAAAGGCAAUGCUGAAAUUGAUAGAGGAAGAUGCAGAUUCGUUUGCCCAGCGUGCAGAGAUGUAUUAUAAGAAACGGCCUGAGCUCAUUAGCAUGGUUGAAGAUUUUUACAGGACACAUCGAUCAUUAGCUGAGCAAUAUGAUCUACUUAAAUCUGACUCUGGAAAUCGCCUAACAACAAUCAAAUACCAACGGCAGAAGUUAACGGGUGGGAUGAAUAAAAUCUAUGACAGCCAUUCUGAUUCUGAAACGUACUCUGCUGAGUCUGAAGUUGAAGAUCCUGGACAGGAAGAGGAAACUGAAUUUGAAGAAGAAAUGGGAGAAGUUGAGGAGCCUGAACAGAAAAUAGAAACUGGUGAAGUUGAAGUUUCAGGUGCAGUCUGUAAUGAUGAGGUGAUGAAGAUGCAGGAAGAAAUAGAAAUACUCAAAGAAGAGAACAGAAUUCAGAGUGAACAACUUCUGCAGAAAGAUGAAGAGAAGAGAGAGGUUAUAAGGCAACUCAGUUUGGCUAUAGAAGUGCUUAAGCUGGAAAAUGUUCAGCUCACGAAGCAUGUAGCUAAAGGCUCCCCCAAGAAAACGAGCCCUUUUAAGUUGGAGAAGUUGAAGGAGGUAUUUUCAGGGAAGCUUUUCAAUGGCUUUUCAAAAUCUCGUGGGAGUGUACCAGCUCCUUAGGUAAAGGUUGGAGCCAACAAGUAGCUUGUAGAUACAGUUCAUAUCUAGAAAGAGAAUGUAAAUCACAAUUUUAUUUCAGCUCAAACUUAGGAAGUAAACAUACAGUACAGUGUCUGUUGAGGAAGUAAUGUAGGAUUAAAGUUUAGCAUGCCAAAUUUCUAAUUUUUGCCAAUACUACUAGUAUGCAAUAUAAUCAGAGAUAACCUAAUUCAGUGUGCCAUUGUCUCAUUUUGUAUAUCCAAGAUGAGGAGAAAAGAGAAUAAGUGGUUCCAUUCUUCUAUAAAGUUCUCUCUAGUGAAGAUACCGAGUAUUCAUUUUUACAAGGAAUUAGAACCAGCAGCUUACCAGAAAACCGUCAGCCAUUAAUGGAAUCAUAGUUUAGAUGAAGAUCAGUAAUGUGUAAGCUCAACAUGUCUAGUAGAAGCAGAUCCAUAAAUGGUUGCUCAAUCUGUAAGAAUGGAAUAAAAUAAGCAGUGUAUAAAACAGAGAAUUUAUAGUUUUAGCAUGUAGAGUUUUGUUCUGUAAUGUUGAAAACUUUCAGCUGAUUGUUUGUCCUCUCAAGGACACUGAAAUAUAAGAAUUGAGAGUGCUACUUUAUUUAUUAAAUAUUUUUUGUAGACACUGUCCUAUCACAAAGUUACAACCAUGCCACGCACUUCCUUACUUACCAAACAUCACAGUAUGGCACACUAUACACUACAGAAAUAAAUCAACAAAAAAUAAAAGAGGAAGUGGAACCACCAGCAACAAUAAUGGAGCUGCCACCAAGAGUACCUCACAAAGCAGAAAGCUGCACCAAGCAAAACACCAGCAAACCAAGAAAGUAGAGAGCUAGAUUUAGAGUUGCUAAUGAACUCAGAGAAGUAGCAGAAGAAGCUGGUAAAGACCCAGAUGGUGACACAGCAAACACAGGCCCCGGAGCUGGAUCAAUGAGAUCUGGAUUUGGAGGGCUUCGGCUUGAAGGAAUGGUGGGAAGUGAUGACUCAGCUGGAGAAGGUACCCCAGCUCCAGUGGUAGGAAACACAGGCUCAAUGUCUGGUGAUAAAUUUGGAGGAGAGGAUAAGGGAGCUUCAGGCAAGAGUGCAGGAGCUGCUGAUAUAGUAGAGAAUUGUACAUGUACUUGAGAUGUAAAAGCUGGUGAAAUAAAAUAGGCCACGAAAACCAUGAAAGUUGCCAAGAAUGACCAAAAGGAAGCCAUUAAUGAUGAUGAAAUCAAUUCACCUGUUAUGAACUUCAAUAAAUGUGCAGAGAGAGAGAGAGAGAGA